CAAUAGCGUAUAUUAAAGUUGUUGCAGUUAAAAAGCUCGUAGUUGGAUUUCUGGUGGGAGCGAUCGGUCUGGCGCUUAGCGCGAGUACUUGCAUCGUCUCCGGCCAUCCUUGGGGAGAGUCUGUCUGGCAUUAGGUUGUCGGGCAGAGGAUCCUCAUCGUUUACUGUGAAAAAAUUAGAGUGUUCAAAGCAGGCUUAUGCCGUUGAAUAUAUUAGCAUGGAAUAAUAAGAUAGGACUUUGGUACUAUUUUGUUGGUUUGCGCACCAAAGUAAUGAUUAAUAGGGACAGUUGGGGGUAUUCGUAUUCCGUUGUCAGAGGUGAAAUUCUUGGAUUUCUGGAAGACGAACUACUGCGAAAGCAUUUACCAAGGAUGUUUUCAUUAA
This 383-nucleotide ribosomal RNA is filed under the name uncultured eukaryote. RNAcentral describes it as "partial 18S ribosomal RNA". It matches the Rfam family "Eukaryotic small subunit ribosomal RNA", at positions 592 to 976 of the family's 1831-position model. The record is from RNAcentral.